Molecule: ribosomal RNA, 224 nt
Filed under: uncultured bacterium
Lineage: Bacteria
Description: partial 16S ribosomal RNA
Rfam family: Bacterial small subunit ribosomal RNA
Source: RNAcentral
GAUCAUGGCUCAGGAUGAACGCUAGCUACAGGCUUAACACAUGCAAGUCGAGGGGCAGCAUGGUCUUAGCUUGCUAAGGCCGAUGGCGACCGACGCACGGGUGAGUAACACGUAUCCAACCUGCCGUCUACUCUUGGACAGCCUUCUGAAAGGAAGAUUAAUACAAAAUGGCAUCAUGAGUUCACAUGUUCACAUGAUUAAAGGUAUUCCGGUAGACGAUGGGG